Molecule: non-coding RNA, 374 nt
Organism: Paramuricea clavata
Lineage: Eukaryota; Metazoa; Cnidaria; Anthozoa; Malacalcyonacea; Plexauridae
Source: the annotation of a GenBank genome assembly
UUAAUCGCGCUGGCUAAGAAUAACCUGUAUAUAUACAAUAAAUUAACAUAUUUUCCGUGUAAGACGUGGUGGCGCAGAGGAACAAGACUCAGCGUGUAUGCUGAAGGUCGUGAGUUCGGUCCCGGAAUGUGCGCAAACGAAUUUUUCUUUUUGGAAUUUUUCUUUUUGCCGAAAUUGUUUUUUUUUCUCGUUUAUUUACCUGUCGUAUAGCUAGCUAUAUGCAUUGGGAAGAUGAAUUUAGAUGCAUUUCGAUGAUAUUCGGAAAAUUUAAUGUAAUUUUGGUGGUUUUCUGCUUAUGAAACAUUCUAGAACCAGUCUCCGAAAUGCGCACAUUUUUUGAACGAAUAGUAUACUAUAGUACAGCCCGGCUGGCA